UACGUAGGUGGCAAGCGUUAUCCGGAAUUACUGGGCGUAAAGCGCACGCAGGCGGUCUUUUAAGUUUGACGUGAAAGCUCCCGGCUUAACUGGGAGAGGUCGUUGAAUACUGGAAGACUUGAGGCAAUGAGAGGGGUGUAGAAUUCCCGGUGUAGUGGUGGAAUGCGUAGAUAUCGGGGGGAAUACCAGUGGCGAAAGCGGCACCCUAGCGUUAGCCUGACGCUCAUGUGCGAAAGCGUGGGGAGCGAACCGG
This 253-nucleotide ribosomal RNA is filed under the name uncultured bacterium. Its description in RNAcentral is "partial 16S ribosomal RNA". It matches the Rfam family "Bacterial small subunit ribosomal RNA", at positions 524 to 776 of the family's 1533-position model. The record is from RNAcentral.